GACGAACGCUGGCGGCGUGCUUAACACAUGCAAGUCGAACGGUAAGGCCCUUCGGGGUACACGAGUGGCGAACGGGUGAGUAACACGUGGGUGAUCUGCCCUGCACUUCGGGAUAAGCCUGGGAAACUGGGUCUAAUACCGGAUAGGACCACUGCCUGCAUGGGUGGUGGUGGAAAGCUUGUGCGGGGUGGGAUGGGCCCGCGGCCUAUCAGCUUGUUGGUGGGGUGAUGGCCUACCAAGGCGACGACGGGUAGCCGGCCUGAGAGGGUGACCGGCCACACUGGGACUGAGAUACGGCCCAGACUCCUACGGGAGGCAGCAGUGGGGAAUAUUGCACAAUGGGCGCAAGCCUGAUGCAGCGACGCCGCGUGAGGGAUGACGGCCUUCGGGUUGUAAACCUCUUUCAGCAUCGACGAAGCGAAAGUGACGGUAGGUGCAGAAGAAGGACCGGCCAACUACGUGCCAGCAGCCGCGGUAA
This 478-nucleotide ribosomal RNA is filed under the name uncultured bacterium. Its description in RNAcentral is "partial 16S ribosomal RNA". It matches the Rfam family "Bacterial small subunit ribosomal RNA", at positions 28 to 523 of the family's 1533-position model. The record is from RNAcentral.